GAAACGUCAAAGGGCAUUCUUUCUAUUUUGACUAGCUCUUAUAUUGCAACUGGAUAUUGAGGGCUUUAGGACAUUCUUCCUUACUUUCUUCCGCUUACCCAGUUGGUAUGGUUUAAGUUUCUUUUACCUUUAUUCUUCUCUUGUUUAUUUGUAUUUAGUUGUUACUAGUGAGGUUUGCAGAAACUGAGUGCGCACUUAUCAGACCAAUUGAUGACAAACGAUCUCCAAUUCUUAAUAUAGCAUGGUUGAGAUUUACCUGCAAAAACAAAAAAAAAAAGACUUGAGAAGGGAACACCUGGCCUUUGUAGGGUCCACUCCAAUGAUUAAGCCAGUAAACAGAGAGCUAGAUGAAAGAUGAAUUUACUAAAGAUUGAGAUGAUCUUUCAUACUUGAUAGGAAACAUAUUUAUAUUGCAUGAAUAGUAUAACAUGUAGGUGAUAUAAUUCUAAUUGAAUAAUACCAUGUCGCGUAUGUGUCAAUGAAGGUUAGAUUGACUUAGGUAAUCCACACUAAGUUGUAAUAGAGUUGUAAGCAUAUAGUUGUAUCUGAAGUAUCCUUGUGUUGGUUAAAGAACUUGUGUCUGUGUAGUCAAAUGGAUCAUGGGAACAUAUAUCUCGGAACCAAUGUCAAAAGGUUCAUUUGAUAAUACAUGAAGACUGUCCCUAGGUUCUGAUUUCAUAGGAGAGGUAAAUUUUCCAUAUGUUAUCAGGAUGUAACAGCGAAGCAUCUUCUAGUGUAUAUUUGGUGAAAAAAAGUUCCUAUAAGCUUAAUAGCUGGACACUCUAUAAAUUCUAACCGAUUUCACGAUAUUGCAUCAAGCCUUGCACCUUUACGUUCGAACAACUGAUGUAUGUAUCUUCUUGUGCAGGAUGCGGCAGGGAUUCCUUGGUUCUACUAUGUCCUCAGCUGAUCUCAUACUAUUUGCCCUCUAUAUGUUUGUUAUUGCACGAAAUGACAUGAGAAUGUGCCUUGUUAGGCAU
RNAcentral lists this unclassified non-coding RNA (980 nucleotides) under Hevea brasiliensis (rubber tree). The record is from RNAcentral. Lineage: Eukaryota; Viridiplantae; Streptophyta; Magnoliopsida; Malpighiales; Euphorbiaceae.